GAUGAACGCUGGCGGCGUGCUUAACACAUGCAAGUCGAGCGAUGAAGUUUCCCUCGGGAAACGGAUUAGCGGCGGACGGGUGAGUAACACGUGGGUAACCUGCCUCAUAGAGUGGAAUAGCCUUUCGAAAGGAAGAUUAAUACCGCAUAAUGUUGAAAGAUGGCAUCAUCAUUCAUCCAAAGGAGCAAUCCGCCAUGAUAUGGACCCGCGGCGCAUUAGCUAGUUGGUGGGGUAACGGCCGACCAAGGCGACGAUGCGUAGACGACCUGAGAGGGUGAUCGGCGACAGUGGGAGUGAGACACGGCCCAGAACCCUACGAGAUGCAGCAGUGGAAAAUAUUGCACAAUGGGGGAAACCCUGAUGCAGCAACGCCGCGUGAGUGAUGAAGGUUUUCGGAUCGUAAAGCCCUGUCUUUGGGGAAGAUAAUGACGGUACCCAAGGAGGAAGCAACGGCUAAGUACGUGCCAGCCUCAGCCGUAA
RNAcentral lists this ribosomal RNA (480 nucleotides) under uncultured bacterium. Its description in RNAcentral is "partial 16S ribosomal RNA". It matches the Rfam family "Bacterial small subunit ribosomal RNA", at positions 28 to 523 of the family's 1533-position model. The record is from RNAcentral.